Molecule: long non-coding RNA, 1028 nt
Organism: Formica exsecta
Lineage: Eukaryota; Metazoa; Arthropoda; Insecta; Hymenoptera; Formicidae
Exons: 2
Source: RefSeq, a predicted model, not a curated record
UUUUGUUUAAAAUAAGCUAAGGUUAUAAAUAAUAUUUAUUGUUCUAGUUUUUAUUUCAUUUUCAAUUUUAAUUUAGAAUCGUUUAUUAUAACAAUAAAAACAAUUAUCCUGCUUUCUUCUUUUUUGCUGUCAUUCACCUUAAUCUACUUCUCAAUAAAAUAAGACUUGAUUUUAUACACAGUUAUAACACAAUUCAUGGAAGAACAAGAAGAAUUGUCGAGAGGACAUUUGGUAUUUGGAAACGUAGAUUUUCUUGUUUGUCAAAAGGGCUUACUACAAAAUUGUUAACGUCUACAUCAAUCGUUGUGGCAUAUGCUGUUCUACAUAAUCUUUCAUUAAUUUUAAAUGAUAACUUAAAAGACGAUGAUGAAGAAAUAGUAAAUAUAAAUAAUGAAGUCCCGGUGGCCGAACCUCACUGGCAGCCUGGAGAUGGCAUUCUCAUACGAAAUGCUCUUAUCGAACGACUGUUCAGAUGAAUAAGAAAAUAUUUGCAGAUGACAAAGCUGAAGUUAUACGGACAAUGAAUAUUCAAGUACAGAAGAGACAUGCAAUGAGAGUGAUAUAGAUCGUGAAAAAUAUAUUAAAGAGUCCACAAGUUUUAAAUAUAGAAAAGAAUGCAUGAAUGAUAAUGUAAGUGAAAUAAAGAAGAUACAAUGAUAAUGAUGAAGAUAAAAGUAAAGAAGGAGAAGGAAAAGAAGAAAUUUAGAUGUACAAAUAUGAAGAAUAGAAAUAAAUCUAAUUUUAAAUGGGAUACACUUUUAUUGUGUGUAAACAUAAACUUUUAUUUAUACAUAAACUGUUCGAACAUAACAUAAACUGUUAUUUAUACAUAAAUUGUUUGAAAAUAACAUAAAUUGUUUAAACAUAACAUAAACUGUGAAAACAUUAACUAAUGUUUAUACAUAAACUGUUCGAACAUAACAUAAAGUGUGAAAACAUAAAAACUGUUGUUAAUACAUAAACUUAUAUUAACUAAACUAAAUGUAUAAAAAAACUUACAUAACUAAAUAAAACUCAAUAUUAUAUAU